RNAcentral lists this ribosomal RNA (466 nucleotides) under uncultured bacterium. Its description in RNAcentral is "partial 16S ribosomal RNA". It matches the Rfam family "Bacterial small subunit ribosomal RNA", at positions 28 to 507 of the family's 1533-position model. The record is from RNAcentral.
GACGAACGCUGGCGGCGCGCCUAACACAUGCAAGUCGAACGAACGAGAGAGAGCUUGCUUUCUUGAGCGAGUGGCGAACGGGUGAGUAACGCGUGAGGAACCUGCCUCAAAGAGGGGGACAACAGUUGGAAACGACUGCUAAUACCGCAUAAGCCCACGACCCGGCAUCGGGUUGAGGGAAAAGGAGCAAUCCGCUUUGAGAUGGCCUCGCGUCCGAUUAGCUAGUUGGUGAGGUAACGGCCCACCAAGGCGACGAUCGGUAGCCGGACUGAGAGGUUGAACGGCCACAUUGGGACUGAGACACGGCCCAGACUCCUACGGGAGGCAGCAGUGGGGAAUAUUGCACAAUGGGGGAAACCCUGAUGCAGCGACGCCGCGUGGAGGAAGAAGGUCUUCGGAUUGUAAACUCCUGUUGUUGAGGAAGAUAAUGACGGUACUCAACAAGGAAGUGACGGCUAACUACGUG